This 277-nucleotide ribosomal RNA is filed under the name uncultured bacterium. RNAcentral's name for it is "partial 16S ribosomal RNA". It matches the Rfam family "Bacterial small subunit ribosomal RNA", at positions 338 to 612 of the family's 1533-position model. The record is from RNAcentral.
CCUACGGGACGCAGCAGUGAGGAAUAUCGGUCAAUGGCCGGAAGGCUGAACCAGCCAAGCCGCGUGAAGGACGAAGGUGCCAAGCAUUGUAAACUUCUUUUGUCAAGGGACAAAAUCAGGCUCGAGAGCCUGACCGAGGGUACUUGAAGAAAAAGCAUCGGCUAACUCCGUGCCAGCAGCCGCGGUAAUACGGAGGAUGCGAGCGUUAUCCGGAUUUAUUGGGUGUAAAGGGCGUGUAGGCGGGACUGCAAGUCAGAUGGGAAACCCAUGGGGUCAA